GCUACAUUAUCACUACAUUAGGAAAAGAAUAAGAAUAAUCUUGCCAGCUUUUGUUCUACACAUUAAAUAAUGACCUUUUGAAUGAGUCAUUUAACCUGCAAAAAUUUAAAAAAAUAUUUUCCUUUAGUAAUUUUGUAAGAAUUGUAUUCCCUUAUAGGAAGGUCAUUCUUUGAAGGGAGAAGGCCCACCCAGAAUAAGAGAAGUGUGGCAUUAUUAAUUUCUGCAUUGGAACAUUUGACCAUGACCUUGAAUGCGUUCCCAGAAGUGUUGUAAUAUAGGACAUCAGCCCUUGGAUUUGAGACUGGCAGGGUCUCUUUCGGACACUCUUUUAGAGUCCUCCCUCAAAAAUGAAAAAGCUUCCAGAUUGAACAUCUCUUGGCUG
Long non-coding RNA from Pezoporus flaviventris, 382 nucleotides. RefSeq lists it as uncharacterized. The record is from RefSeq and is a predicted model, not a curated record. The transcript has 3 exons. Lineage: Eukaryota; Metazoa; Chordata; Aves; Psittaciformes; Psittacidae.